Molecule: non-coding RNA, 10133 nt
Organism: Coturnix japonica (Japanese quail)
Lineage: Eukaryota; Metazoa; Chordata; Aves; Galliformes; Phasianidae
Source: RefSeq, a predicted model, not a curated record
UUGCAGUGGGAUUUCAAACUAAUUUUUUCAGGUACAAGCACAUGGCACAUAUCAAGAGGAUAAUGGAACAUUUAAUUAGUAACAAAAGAUCUUUCAACCUUCUCUGCAGACUGAAAAGCUUGUCUUCAAGUCAUCCGAGUUGUAAAAGAAAAGGGAUGCCUCAUUAAUAGAGUCUCCACAGCAUCCCCAUCAGUCAUUUCAGAACACAGACUUCAUUCUCUUUAUUAUCUUCAAAAAUACUUCAUCACAAAUGUUCAGAGGAUAACAUAAUGAAAAUCAAUAACAAAUCAUAUUUUUGUUAGCAAUCAAAAUUAUUUCAGUACUUCAUAAAGGGCCAAUAACUUAAUUUAACUCAUCCAAUGAAGUUAAUCAUAAUUGAGCUUUCAGCUUAGAGAAAAACCAAAGCUAGACAGGCAGUACUGCAACCACACACACUGGGGAAGCCAGAAUGUUGAAAUAUUAGUACAGAUCAAUUAUUAUUUAUGGAAUAGAGGGAAAAUCAGAAGCUUUGCAUAGUGCUCGUGGUUUGUAAGUAUCUUCCAAUCCGAGGUUCAGAAAGCUUCAUUAAACUUGAAAAUUAAUUAGUGGGCCUAAUGAUUCCCUCUUUGGCAAUGUGAAAUGAACAGGAACAAUUUUUUCUGGCCACAUUUGUCCUCUCUAGAAAUGUUUCGCAGUAUGUUACAAUAACUAACCAGCAUUUCUGCUCUCCUGUGCUAAGACAGGUUUUUUCAGUUUUCUUUUUUGCACCACUAUUCUUAUUACUACAUGAGUCCAAAAUACUCAGAUAGAACUGAACAGCUAAAUGGCUUAUGAUAUCAAAGAAAGCUUCAAGGAAUAUCAGGGACAUUCUUUCCCUGUCUGCUGAAUUUCUGGUCUGAAUAAUAAAGCAAGAUCAGAACCAGAGCUGCAUCACAGACCAGUAUUCGUGGAAAAUAACAUUACCACUGUUUUUAUGAUGACUCAUAUCCUAUGAUUUUCAACCUCUCUUGACAGCCACGCUGAGCCACAAACAGCAUUAAUGUCACACUAGAAGAAAAACGCAAAUCCUAAGUGCCAUUUCUGAGAAAAGCUAAUCUGCUCUUUUCCAUGCUCAACUCUUGUAAAAGGUAAACCUGCAGGACAGUAACAAAGUCAAUGGGCAAUGCAGACUGUCAGUACUCCUCAAAAUAAACAUCACAAAAUAGAAAACAUAUUUUGCCACAGAAAUAAAAACAAAGUCCUAAAGAAUUCCAUACUGAUACUGUCAUUGUAUGACAACAACUUUGCAUGCCACCUUUCCAAUGCAGAUUGAGUCAUGAAAAAUAGAAUAAGUUGAAGAUUGUAUAGAAGAAGCUCAACUAAAUUCAAUCAAUUGCACAGUUCCAUUCUUUAACCUUGUUUCAGCAGCAAAUAAAAUCAUCCCUGAAACACUGUCUUUUAUACCCAUCCUGCAUGAAGAAAGAUUUACUCAUUAACUACCUCUCAAGCUAAGGAACUGCUCUAAAAGCAGAACCCAGUACCAUGUUGUGUUAGCACAGCUGCUUACACUGGCAGUGACUUAGGCAUUCUCUAUGCUUUUGCACUGCCCAUUAAUACCAGAACACCGCUAUCCCCCUGAACCCACAAGAUGGCCCACGGAUAGUGUGCAUCUAUUGUACAUGCAAAAAGAGUUGGCCAUUUAUGUAUUUUGCCUAUAUUACUGUAACAACAACGUGCUUUAUAAAGCAAUGACGAAUUUUACAGUAAUUAGAAAGCCCAGUCAGGGGAGAAAUCUGAAAAUGCAGCAGAUUUGGUUUGAUGCAGUGAUAGCUGAACAGAGAAGAAGAACUGGAGGAAAGAAGAAGUAUUUGAAAUUACAGACAAACUAAGCCUGUAAUUAAAAGUAUAUGUAACAUAUGUUUGAAAUCUGUUCUUCUCAACAAGGGCUCUGACUUGGGAACAUGUUUCUUGACUCUGUUCUCCAGCGCCUUUCCUCUCAAUGAAAUAACUGGCUCAUAGUUUUUCUGGAGAUAAAUUUCAUCUCACAAGAAGAAUUAUCAAGAGCUAAUAGCAAAUGCAGCUUCGGCUUAGUAAGUCAUACGCCAUCAUAAAACAUUUCUGAAUACAGAUACCAUCACAUUCGGUUCCCAGUCAAGAUUCAUCGACUAGCUGGAUUCAGAAAUGCAGUCUUGUUAUUCCACAGAAGCAAAGAAGGAUGACAGCUUUGAGACAUUGCUAUUUAAUGUGACAGACAGAUUGUAAAAGUGGGAAGUAAGGCAAGCCCAAUCUCAGAUUUAGGACGAAUUCUGAAUUUUAUAGCUCAAUGCCACCCGUUGUGCAAAUUGGUCUGGUUUAUCUUUUUACACACACAACCCAAAGUUCUUAAUUUAAAUCAACUACAUUUUCAUAAGAAAUCAAUAGGGAGACAGUUUAUGUAAUUCUAGUUCCUCUGCUCCACCCCCACAGCUGAGAUGACUCACAAUCCUCAAAGUACUUUCAGCAUUCAGAGUUAUUAAUGCUUUGCCCAUUCAGUUUACUGUGGUAUUAGUUAUAUACUGAGAUGCAUACACCUGCUUUACAGCUGCAUGAAAAAUAAGCUGCUCGACAGCAAGGUAAAACCUUGCAUAACUUCUGCAAGAAAAAAGAAUCUGAUUUCUACAGUUUGCUAUGCUCCCUGAAGAAAGGGUGAAAUGUCAGCAAAUUUUAAUGAGUUCUCUUAAGGGAAAAUGAGAGAAAUCUGAAGAAUUAUACUUGCAGAUUAAAAUAUGGUAAUCUGAAAUUUCUGUAGAGCUCUAGUGUCAAACCCCAAAGCUGGAAGGGCACCCAGUGAACUACAAUUCACAGCGACUGCCAACUGCACUUCCCAGGGAUUUUGCACAUCAGUUGUUAGCGGAUUAUGUUUUACUAGAGACCGGGUGAAAACUAAUCACUCUCACUUGGAAAAUACUCCAAUUUUCCUUCUCCCUUCCGCUUCCAGUGAAAGUUAAAAACAUUAAACACGGUAAUUUAUGCCUGAGUCCUCAUCAAAAGCACUUGAAAUACUUCCUGCUGCAUACUCUGUAUCGCUAUGCAGAACCCAAGGGUGCACACACAAGGACAGAUAGUUCAGAACUGAGCUGGCUCUGGAAAUUGGAUCACAUUGAGCUACAAUCAUUCAUGGUGAUCCUUCUACAUAUCUUUUAGUGAAGACAUGCUUGCAACUGCAGAGUCUGGAGCUUUCCCUAAGUACCUACAGAAUGCUUAAAUGAUGGGACUUGUCUGCCUUUGUCCAGCCCAGCUGGUGAAACAGAAAUGAUUAGUGGAAACAAAAUCACUUCGUUUGUUUUUUAAAGAGGUAAGCAACAGAGUAGCAGCAACAAUGAAAACAGGUCAUUCUAAUUGGGUGUGGGGAAAAUUGCAGCAGUGGUAGCAUACCAUAUUACCAUGGUGUAAGUGUACACAAGUACGUGAUAGGGAAGUAAUAAUAAGCUGACUUGCUUUGUCUAGUGCAAAAGGAUGUGUGGAUGCAUAGCCCCUUGGCUAGGUUUAUUUUUAUUUCAUUCACAUCAGCUAGAAAUGAUUCUUAAGAGAAACUAGACAUGCUUCCAAAACCAAAGUUAAAAACAUCAGUGAGGGUAUAAAAUUACUCUAAUACUGAACUAAUCCUCUAUGCAUGAGUAUGCAGUGUAUGGACAUACGAUACAGUGGAUUUCUCAAGACCUUUCAUCUUGAAGAUGCAGAAAGGUUAUAUGGGAGACCAAAGCAAAGCCAAAUUUUGCUGAUUAAUAUAUUUUUAACCUUGACCACGCUACCAGGAAAACAUCAAUCCCAAUUUUUCCAUUUUAUCUAUGUUAUGCAUGAGGAAAAUGUACACACAAAAUCUGCAGCAUACUAUAAGGGGUGCUGGUAUCUGGAGCCCACAGCGUAGGUUGUUCUGGAAGUAAUGUCUUUCUUUCCAUCCAUUCCAAACUUUUUUCCUGGACUUGCUAUUUAGAUAUAGUUUCUGACUAAUUGUUCUUCAUAGGUGGAACAAAGCACACCAGUUUUACAUUGCUAGAAUUUUAUACUUCAUGUUCUUUGGCUGCCUAGCACAUCAUUUUUCAAAAGGAAAAUUGGGAUUACGUCGGCCCUGGGAGAUGUACAAUGGAGUUAGGCAGAACAAAAGACUGGUCUCUCAUAGCUAUAACUGUCUCAUCAUAGUACUUAUGCCUAACAGAUUCAACUGUAUUUAGCAUCAUGUACUAAGGACAGUACCUUGCUUACAGUGUGCUACCCUGCAGCUAUUCUUGAAUUCAUGCAGCACAGUUGGUAAGUCUAAUUGUAUUUAACAAUUUCUUUUACAACAAAUACUUUUACAUGAAAAUAAGCAACAGUAAAUGAAGUCCCACAGGAUUAAUCUGCCACGUCAACUAUUCUCAAAAGACAAACACCCUGGAGCAUUUCUAGAAUCCUAUGAAUGCUAGUAGUCUGCCACCACUUUUCCACAAUGAGAGGAAUCUCAUAAAAGUUAAAUAAUAAGAAAAUGUUUUCAUUCCAGAACAUGAGAUUUUUUCUUAUCUGAUAAGCUUAUAUUGUAAAAGAAACUACUGCUACUAUAUGGGUGUACUGAACAGCCACUACCAUAAAUUUGCAUUGGUGACAUGAAGGUAAUUUAGUCUUGCUCUCAGUUCAGAGCCCUCUAAACAAGAAUCUGUUGCACUAAUGCAAGCAACCCCUUGACUUACAUGUUAUGGAUAGUCCUAUUUUACUACAAACAAACUGCUAAGCAUUUUCACUACAACAGAGUGGCACUACCAAACAGGGUUACAGCUUUGUAAUUGGUACCUCUUAAGGGACUAAGGGUCUGCCGGGUGCAUGUUUACCAACAUCACUUGCUCAGUCUUGUUUGAACAGAAACAAAACAAAAUGAGGAAGUUCAUGUAAGCAAUUGGCGUACUCGUUAAUACAUUUUAAAUAAAUAAGAUACUUGCUCGCAUGUAUUAAACAAAUAAAGUAAUGCUUUAUGUAUGCUAAGUUUAUUUUGCAGUUGCAGAAAAAUGAAUACUGUUGAAUACUAGGUUUUUUGAGACGUGAAUCCAGCUCUGCCUCAAAGAGACAUCAACAAAGCUUAGAUUUUCUGCAGAAGUUUCAUUUAGCAAGAAAAAAAACUGGAUAAUUGAUUGAAAAAGAAAUAUUUAUGAAUGAGGUUAAACAGUAACUGCUGAGUCACAGCCUGAGCUGCUGAUUGAGCACCUGGGGAAAGGACCCAGUCAGUCCUGUGAGCACAGGUGAAGGGAAUUCAGCUGUGGAGCUGGAAGGGGUGGAGGCUGGCUGCACCUUUCCUAGACCCCAUUUAAAGGCUGACUCCCUCUGAGGAAGGUUUUCUGGUUGGAUUUCUUUCUUCUAUGGGGUUUUUCCUGUAAACCUUGAUCUUCGCAGAAGAUGCCCUCUCAGGGAACAGAUGAUAACUGCAGUGGUGCCUGGAAGUUUCUAUGGCAUUAAAAGCUGAACACCAAGAGAAUUUAACCAUCUGCAUUAAGGCAGAGUCCACUCUAAUCUGCUUGAAAAGGAAGCCAUGAAAAUGCUGACUUCACUUCUGGAGCAGCCCUCGUACUCCCUGAUACUGAGGAGGUUCACCCUUGGAGAUUCAUAAAUCCAAUACAUGACCUGUGAUGAAGAUAAGUACAAGCAAAACCAAAAACUAGAGGAAGAUUAAAUGAAUUCCUACUGGGUUUUCCAGGACCUCAGGCAAGUCUUUCAGGUGGCCAGGUGUGAUAAAAGGCAUUAAACAGAAUACCGGUUGCAUUUUAUUGUGUUUGCAUCUAGGAAAACCAGUUUAUGUAGAGUUCUAAAUUUAUCUUUGAAGUUGAGAAUAAAUUGCUCGCUUUUGUUUUUGUUGCUCCGCACUGGUUCUAUUUUCCUUCAGUUUUGUUCUGCAUUUAUGAAGCUAAAGAUCUCAUUUGUUAUUGUGUUCGUUCACAGGUCUCAGCAGGUGAUUUUGUUGCACAUUAACUGCUGUGAUGUGUAUUGGACAUAAAAGACAUAGCAAAUCUUGAUUUAUGCAAAGAUUAACAGUGUCUCUAAGCACAUCAAUUAGCCAUUCCUUGAUUUCGUGUUGAUGUUUUUGCCAGUAAUGUAAUGACAUUGUGAGGUGGCAAUUAGAAAACACAGGCAAAGAGAAGCAGGAUCCUGCUUCACUUGGGAUUCAAAGAUAUGUAGGAUCACUUUCUUCUUUAGAGUUUUAUUAAAAAAUUGAACUAUGAUUUGAGUACAGAAUAACAGGAAGAUAUGAAGAUAAGAUUUAAUGAAGGGAGGAGAGGAACAAUGUAUGAAGCAGAAAGACCUAAGGCGAAGAGUCCUGCCCUCUCUCACAUUAGAUCCUGACAGAUCCACAGCAGUUUCUAGAAUAUAAGAUGAUGGAAUUAAUUGUUUCUUAAUAUAUGUUACAGCCUAAGACAAAGAAGAACCUAAGAAUAAACAGCAUAAUUCAUCUUUCUCAUACUUUUGUCUAUCCUAAUGUUAUCUUAAUACUGAACAAUAUCACUUAAACAACAGUCUUGCUGUAACUGGAGGGGGGAAGAAAAAGAAAAGGACUCUUCUGAAAUAAAUGUUGAGAUUUCUGUGCAUUAUCUUUCAAAGACAGGCAGAAACAUUCAGUGUGUGUUUGUUUAAACUUUAAUCCAAAAUAAGACCUUGUUACUGUUGGCUCUUACCAAGUAAGCCUAGAGCAUAUAGCAGCUUUUGCCAAGAAACACUGGGAUUCUUCCUUGUAGAGUAAUUCCCAAGCUUCUGAUGGUCUUGUUCCCACAGUGCAUCAUUAGCUAGAGAACUAAAGAAAAUGGAUUCUUUUACGUAGGAACAGUUAUUAAUAGAGUCCAUGCUCACUUCUGUUGUAUGCCAUGCAAGGACACACAAAUUGACCAACAUAGAUGACACAUUUUGUUUUCUUAAGUGGCCACUGAGGUAUGCAGGGAUAAGACAGAAAAUAGCAAUCUUAGUGGUGAUUAAUUUUGGGGUCACAACAGGGGUACUAAUGAAAUGGAAAUCACGUUAGAAGUAUUCACUGCAUCUCUGUUUCAAGAGUGUUGGGAUUUUAGGCUUGCACAGAGUACAUUUGGCACGCAUUUUAGCAGCGUUUCAUUCCUUUUUUCAGUGGGGAUUUUUGCUGAGACAUCUAUGAAUCGUUUGACCCUUCUCUUGAUUAUUUACAGUCUUCUAUACAGCUGCUCUUUCUUUUAUUAUGCUAAGAAAAGCGGAAGAAAGAGAAAUCAAAGCUUAAAGUAAACUAUAACUUUUAAUCCUGUCUUUUAAACUGUCUGCUCAGCAGCCUGGUUCACAUGCAGUUCCUGGUUUCUGCCAGCAGCUUGCGCCGUUUAUCUUCUUCGCACCCAGAAGCACAAGACUUCCAACAGAAAUCUCUCUGGAGCUGCAAGUGUGACAAACAAGAGGAACAACACGAAGGCUGUAAAAGAGAAGCAUCCCUACUUUUGAUCCGCCUCUGGGUGGUGUAUUGAAAGUAGGAAUCAGGUAAAUAGGGACUUUGUAUGAAGGUUAAGUAUCCUAGGCUUUGGGGAGUGUCAGAAGAAAAGGACCAGUGGGACAUGUUGACAUCACUAUAGUUAUUUCUUGGAAAUUUGAUGAAUAUGUAUGCGCUUGCUAUAUAACUUUCUAAUGCUUCUGUCCAUUGCAUGAUAGGAGGGGUGAUCCCCCAUGUGCCCAGCGCUGAAUAAACAUGUACCUGCUUUGUAACCUAAUUCUGGUUAUAGAGUCUGAUUCCACACUUCAGUAUGAGAGUGAAACACGAAGGUAAGGCAGGAGAUGUACAGUGUAAGCACUUCUAUGUAACAAAGUGCUGCAUUCCCUAACCAGAACUGCAUGAUUUAAUGUGGCCCCAAAGUAAAACAUGCAGCUGCAUAUAUCAAUUAUUUGAAGCAGCCUAAACAGUUUACAGCCUCAAAAAUCAUAAGAAAUGAUGGACCGGGGAGGGGGUGGAAAGCUUUGGAAAUAUAUUCUGCAGUACAGUACAAAACAACCUGUUAUUGGCACACCCCAGUCUUGUUGUGAGACUUUUCUUUUUAAUAACACUGCUUAUAACUGUAUAUGAUAAUGUUAAGCCCUCCAAACACACACACACUUGGUUGUUCAGCUGACAGAUGGGGUCUUUAUUAUGAACACCUAUGGAGCCUCUGGAAGCACUGCUUUCUGUAAACAAAGCAUAGCUGCUGCCUGGAAAAUAGCUCAUGCAGGCAACUUGGUGACAUGGCAACUAUCUGGCUUCUCAAGUAUGACAGGAGCUGACAAUACUCGUUUCAUACCAAAAUCCAAAAAGCUUAGAAGCUGAAACAGGUAUAUUUAAGCUAUCUUCAAAUGCUCAGUAUCUAAAAGCAGUAUUCGAUACGCAAGUUUAAAGCAGUAGGCUGUUAAAAUUUAUUUUUUGCCCCAUUUCCAAUCAUUUUCCAUCAGUCUGAUCCUGUCCAUUCAUCAGCCUGUGUGCUUCCCCUAAUGCUUCUAAUGAAAAUAAUAUGAAGUUAAUCAAUCUUUGAGCCAGUAUUACUACUAUCAUGCAAAUAUCUCGUGAAAGAAAUACUGCGCAAAAGGUGUCUGUGGUAUUUGCCAUGUCUUAUCCACUACGUACAAGCAAAGCAGAGCUUAGAAAGAGAGCUUAACAUUAGAGGUGGAAAUGCAUACAAUACUUUCACUCUUCCUCCUCUUGUGAUGUUUUCCUUCCCUCUUUUUGUGCAAGAGAACAAUAGGGAAUUGCUUUUUAUUAAGUGCAGAACUUAUGUUCUUUGAACACUGUGGAGAGCGAUGUUAACUAAUUAUAAUCUAGUCCACCACCACUGAAUGUAGAACAGGAUCAGAAGAAUAAUGUAUUUUCACUGGCAGCAGCAUUAUGCUGGGAGUCAAGUGGGGAAACAGGUCUGAGACUUGGCUGUGCUACCUGAAUGAGAGGUGUUCUCAGUCUAGUUUUAAUGAGAAAUUCCACCAAGGAUAAAAAAAUUAUUUCAGAGUAAAGUCUUAUUGAACUUUGCAUGCAGCUACAUUCAGUUUCGGCUUUGAUAAAUUAACAUUUCUGAUCUAAUGCCAGGCCUGCCAAAGAAACCUGCCAUUCUUUGAUUCACACAAACCAAGCAAAAACCGUGAAGAGCACUGAGUGAUCACAAACUUACAAGUUCUACUGAAACAGCAGCUAUGCACUCCCAUGUCUGUUUCACAAAAGCAGAGGUGAAAGAGACUCUUGCAACUAUUCCAGUGGCACUGAAAGCUAGAAAACAUCAAAUAUAGUGGCAGCAAGGAAAAUCCAUCUAUGCAGUAUAAUUACAUAUUAGAUCUUUACUGGCUUGUAAAGGAGAACUUGAAAAAGAAUAUGGAAACAGAAAGCUUAAGUAGUUCCAUAAGUAAUGCCUCCUAUUUAUUUCCAUAGAAAUUACAACAGAAUACAAUGAGAUAGCAGGAUGCUGCAAUCUAUUGCACUGUAAUAAAAUGUAAUGGAAUAUUGGUGGGAAUGUUCAGCCUCUAUUGCCAUACAACCAGCAGCUGCCUCUGAUGUUGCUGAUCAAGAUCACAAAAUAGGAGGCAUUACUUUUGGAUCAGCCUUCAUAUGAAAAAAAAUGAAUGCAUCAUACUGAACCAUUAAUUCAGCUCCUCCUGCAAUGUGAUUUGUCUCUCGUUGCUGCAGUUAACAGAGAGUCUAUGAAACUCCAAACACAAUUAAGUCUUGGCAGAAGUGCGGUUGGAGGCUACGGCAGUUUCUAUAGCAACCCAAAAGGCUCAAGACUAGUAACAGGAGAUCAACUUUAAGGCAAGAUAAAUACAUAAAUAUAGCUCUCAUUUACCAUUUCCUUUGCUUCCAAAGGGCAACAUGUUUUCCCCCUAAACAAUGCAGAAAUACAGUCAGAUGUCCCAUUCAUUAUUAACCAGGGUAAAAAUAAUUUUUACAAACAUUCUGUUAGAAAAAUUCUAACAAUUUCACAGUUGGGAGAAUCAUCUGAAUUUCUCUUAUUAAUCCAGUCAAAAUGGAGAGCACCAGACUUGAAUGCUGCCAGAAGACUUAGAAUGAGGCUUCAAAAUAUGUAAUGCUACAGUCAUAAUAAGAGAUUGCUGAUGCUGACACACUGUAUGCUUAUGAACAAAUUAUCUCAAUGCAUUUUACUGGAUUAUGCUUUGGGUCAAGUUUUAAGUUUCAAGAACAGCAAAAUAAAGUAUUUUUGUAAGCA